Long non-coding RNA from Nerophis lumbriciformis (worm pipefish), 710 nucleotides. RefSeq lists it as uncharacterized. NCBI's taxonomy places the organism in Eukaryota, Metazoa, Chordata, Actinopteri, Syngnathiformes, Syngnathidae. The record is from RefSeq and is a predicted model, not a curated record.
UUGGCCGUCAGCCCCAGAACCUCAGGCAGCAGCUGACAGUGUUUGUCCCAGCACAGCGCCACCCGCUGGUGGGGGGCCGCCGUGAGGCCGGGGGAGAAGACGGAUUCGUGAAGUGCCUGCUGCAAGGCGAUGGAGUCUGCUGGAAGAAGCAAAGAGAAGAGGGUCCACAUCGACAACACACAAGUUCCACUAUAAAAGUGCUUUCCUGAGUUUCUCCUGUGAUCCCCUGUUGUUCCCCUCUGGAUUCUGGACUGCCUCCCUUCAUCCUCGACCUCUGCUUGGACACGGACCUCUGACACCUCGCCAUUUUCCUUGACUAUCUCCGCCUGCUCACGGACUGCCUUCCUGCCUUGUUCCUUCUUCUCGUUUAACAUUUGGUAAAACACUACAGCUAAUCACACACACAGCCUCACACUAGGGCUGCAACAACUAAUCGAUUAAAAUUGAUUAUAAAAAUAGUUGGCGAUUAAUUUAGUCAUCGAUUCGUUGGAUCUAUGCUAUGCGCCUAGGCUAUUUUUAUUUUUUUAUUUUUUUUAACCUUUAUUUACAAACUGCAACAUUUACAAACAGCUGAGAAACAAUCAAAAUAAUAGGGGUGUAACGGUACGUGUAUUUGUAUCGAACCGUUUCGGUACGGGGGUUUCGGUUCGGUGCGGAUGUGUACCGAACGAGUUUCCACAUGGACAUAUUAAGUAGGGUAUUGCACAUUG